GGGUACGAUCAUACCAGCACUAAUGCACCGGA
Molecule: ribosomal RNA, 32 nt
Filed under: Platanus rzedowskii
Lineage: Eukaryota; Viridiplantae; Streptophyta; Magnoliopsida; Proteales; Platanaceae
Source: RNAcentral